GGUGUUUCUUUGGCAGUGUCUUAGCUGGUUGUUGUGAGUCAUAAUGAGGGAAGCAAUCAGCAAGUAUACUGCCCUAGAAAUGCUGC
This 86-nucleotide microRNA precursor is filed under the name Eptesicus fuscus (big brown bat). RNAcentral describes it as "microRNA efu-mir-34a precursor". Its record names the gene efu-mir-34a. It matches the Rfam family "mir-34 microRNA precursor family". Rfam says of the family: Human mir-34a was discovered computationally and later experimentally verified. The mature sequence is excised from the 5' arm of the hairpin. The record is from miRBase by way of RNAcentral. Lineage: Eukaryota; Metazoa; Chordata; Mammalia; Chiroptera; Vespertilionidae.